GCGCCAGACUCCUACGGGAGGCAGCAGUGGGGGAUAUUGCACAAUGGGGGAAACCCUGAUGCAGCGACGCCGCGUGAGUGAAGAAGUAUUUCGGUAUGUAAAGCUCUAUCAGCAGGGAAGAAGAUGACAGUACCUGAGUAAGAAGCCCCGGCUAACUACGUGCCAGCAGCCGCGGUAAUACGUAGGGGGCAAGCGUUAUCCGGAUUUACUGGGUGUAAAGGGGGCGCAGACGGCAGCGCAAGCCAGGAGUGAAAGCCCGGGGCCCAACCCCGGGACUGCUCUUGGAACUGCGCGGCUGGAGUGCAGGAGGGGCAGGCGGAAUUCCUGGUGUAGCGGUGAAAUGCGUAGAUAUCAGGAGGAACACCGGUGGCGAAGGCGGCCUGCUGGACUGCGACUGACGUUGAGGCCCGAAAGCGUGGGGAGCAAACAGGAUUAGAUACCCCCGUA
Molecule: ribosomal RNA, 447 nt
Filed under: uncultured bacterium
Lineage: Bacteria
Description: bacterial SSU rRNA
Rfam family: Bacterial small subunit ribosomal RNA
Source: RNAcentral